CCGGCAUCGGGAAGAGGGAAAAGGAGCAAUCCGCUUUGAGAUGGCCUCGCGUCCGAUUAGCUAGUUGGUGAGGUAACGGCCCACCAAGGCGACGAUCGGUAGCCGGACUGAGAGGUUGAACGGCCACAUUGGGACUGAGACACGGCCCAGACUCCUACGGGAGGCAGCAGUGGGGAAUAUUGCACAAUGGGGGAAACCCUGAUGCAGCGACGCCGCGUGGAGGAAGAAGGUCUUCGGAUUGUAAACUCCUGUUGUUGAGGAAGAUAAUGACGGUACUCAACAAGGAAGUGACGGCUAACUACGUGCCAGCAGCCGCGGUAAAACGUAGGUCACGAGCGUUGUCCGGAAUUACUGGGUGUAAAGGGAGCGCAGGCGGGCGAUCAAGUUGGAAGUGAAAUCCAUGGGCUCAACCCAUGAACUGCUUUCAAAACUGGUCGUCUUGAGUAGUGCAGAGGUAGGCGGAGUUCCCGGUGUAGCGGUGGAAUGCGUAGAUAUCGGGAGGAACACCAGUGGCGAAGGCGGCCUACUGGGCACCAACUGACGCUGAGGCUCGAAAGUGUGGGUAGCAAACAGGAUUAGAUACCCUGGUAGUCCACACCGUA
This 602-nucleotide ribosomal RNA is filed under the name uncultured bacterium. RNAcentral's name for it is "bacterial SSU rRNA". It matches the Rfam family "Bacterial small subunit ribosomal RNA", at positions 185 to 804 of the family's 1533-position model. The record is from RNAcentral.